Molecule: small RNA, 196 nt
Filed under: Methylobacterium sp. 174MFSha1.1
Lineage: Bacteria; Pseudomonadati; Pseudomonadota; Alphaproteobacteria; Hyphomicrobiales; Methylobacteriaceae
Description: caulobacter sRNA CC2171
Rfam family: caulobacter sRNA CC2171
Source: RNAcentral
CAACAACAGGAAGGAGGUGAUCCAGUGUCUCAUUGUCAUCAGCCGCGGUCGUCUGCGCGCCGGACCUGGAUCGUCGCCUCCGGCUUCACGGCCUGAGCGUACGACGAACAGUCCAGGAUCGGUGAGAUCCUGACAGAUCGAUCAGUCGGACCGCGGUUCGGCAAUGGAAGGGCUGCCCUGGCGACGGGGCGGCCCU